Molecule: long non-coding RNA, 651 nt
Filed under: Homo sapiens (human)
Lineage: Eukaryota; Metazoa; Chordata; Mammalia; Primates; Hominidae
Description: HSALNT0333369
Source: RNAcentral
CUCCUGAUAUGGGCUUUCCUAACUGUGCAUCUGCUUACUUCCCGCAGACCUGUCCUUGGCUUGUGCAGGGUAAGUAAAGCCUCUCAAGAACUCCCAUUUUUCAUUUCUAUUUCCUCUCUUUUAGCUUCCCUCACUCAACUCUAGAGAUACUGGACUUAAGGAAAUGUCCCCAUAGAACGCUGAGCCUUUCACCUCCUCUUUGCUCGUCUCACGGCUUUGUUAGACACGAAACCAUCUUCUGGAAAAUGUCUUCCCUGACACCUCUCCUACUUUUCUGAGUUUGGGUUGCUUUCCUCCUAGCACUCACGGAGAUCCAGGCACAAAAUUGCCUUGUAUUCAAGUUCCAAGUACCAACCAGCCUUCCACGUGUUGUUGUUUCAAAGAUAACUCUAUUUGCAAAGCCUUUACGCCACUGUUCAGAGAUUUCCGGAGUGUGUGCAACUUCAGUGAGGACUGGAAAGUGGGCCAUUGCGCAGUUCAGCUCUCAGGCUCUUUGUAGGUCUUUUACCAGUGAAGCAUUCAAGAUGGCUGGUACUUCCUCGUUUUCUUCGACAGGUGACUAAUGAAGCCGUUCUCCACGUUGUACUGUAUGGACAUGCGGCCCCAAGUGACAACAUCGAUCCCACUACCUCUCACAUGCUAAGCGAGUAC